AUGUUCUUGAUCUUCAGGUCCUGCAGGAGAUGGGGGAGUCACCACCAGGCCACCACGAGGUCACCACGAGGUCUGGGAUCCACCAGGAUCCACCAAAACUGUGGUGGACACCAUGGGAUCCUCUGGUGGCUUUGUCCUGAACCUGGAGCCAACCUGGAGUUCCCUCAGCCUGGUGGGAUCUCAGCAGGUUCUCAAGGUCCCUCAGCCUGGUGGGAUCUCAGCAGGUUCUCCCAGAUCCAACCCUGGAGUCCUCCAGGUCCCUCAGCCUGGUGGGAUCUCAGGAGGUUCUCCCAGAUCCAGCCACGAGGUCUGGGAUCCACCAGAACCAUGGUGGACACCAUGGGAUCCUCCAAGGGCUUUGUCCUGAGGACCUGGAGCCAACCUGGUGGGAUCUCAGGAGCUUCUGAAGGUCCCUCAGCCUGGUGGGAUCUCAGGGGCUUCUCCAGGUCCCUCAGCCUGGUGGGAUCUCAGGGGCUUCUCCAGGUCCCUCAGCCUGGUGGGAUCUCAGGAGCUUUGCCCAGACCCAACCCUGGAGCUCCCCAGCUCCCUCAGCCUGGUUUUUUGCCCCAAAUUUGGGGUUUUUUUCCCCAAAACUUGGGGGGUUUUUCGCCCCAAAUUUGGGGUUUUUUUUACCAAAAAUUAGGAUUUUUUUUCCCCAAAUCUGGGAAUUUUUUUUUUCCCCAAAAACUGGGAAAUUUUUGUCCAAAAUUUGGGCAUUUUUUCUCCAAAAUUUGUUUUUUCCCCCAAAACUUAGGGUUUUUUUUUUUCCCCAAAAUCUGUGGGGUUUUUUUUCCCAAAAAUUUGGAUUCUUUUUGCCCAAAAUUUUGGGGUUUUUACCACAAAAUAAAGUUGGUUUAUUUUUUCCAAAAUUUCGGGGUUUUUUUUCCCCAACAUUUAGUUUUUUUUUUUCCAUAAUUUGAGGUUUUUUCCCCCAGAUCUGGGAAUUUUUUGCCGAAAAUUUGGGAUUUUUUUUUUUUUGCCCAAAAUUUGGUGGUUUUUGCCCAAAAUUCGGCGGUUUUUGCCCAAAAUUUGGGGGUUUUUUACCCGAUUUUUUUUUUUUCCCCCCAAAAUUGGAAUUUUCCUCGUUACCUUUUUGGGGGCCACGGGCGUUUUGGGCUCCGGUUUCUGCCGCUCCUUGUCCGGGGCGGGCGGCGUCGGCUCCGGGGCGGAUCACGGCCCGAGCCCCUCCCCCCUCCAGGGGCUUCAGCUCCGGCCCUGCAACCCCAGAAAUUCGGGAUUUUGGGGGGGAUGGACCCAAAAAUGGGGAUUUUGGGGGUUUGGAACAAAAAAAUUGGGAAUUUUGGGGGUUUAUGGC
Molecule: long non-coding RNA, 1315 nt
Filed under: Camarhynchus parvulus
Lineage: Eukaryota; Metazoa; Chordata; Aves; Passeriformes; Thraupidae
Description: lncRNA (ENSCPVG00000017433.1)
Source: RNAcentral